CAGCCGCCGCGGUAACACGAAGGGUGCAAGCGUUACUCGGAAUUACUGGGCGUAAAGCGUGCGUAGGUGGUGGUUUAAGUCCGUUGUGAAAGCCCUGGGCUCAGCCUGGGAAUUGCAGUGGAUACUGGAUCACUAGAGUGUGGUAGAGGAUAGUGGAAUUUCCGGUGUAGCCGUGAAAUUCGUAGAUAUUCGCAAGAACACCAGUGGCGAAGGCGGCUCACUGGCCCGGAACUGACGCUGAGACGCGAAAGCGUGGGGAGCAAACAGGAUUAGAUACCCCCGUAGUCCCUGUCUCUUAUAC
RNAcentral lists this ribosomal RNA (301 nucleotides) under uncultured bacterium. RNAcentral's name for it is "partial 16S ribosomal RNA". It matches the Rfam family "Bacterial small subunit ribosomal RNA", at positions 509 to 807 of the family's 1533-position model. The record is from RNAcentral.